Molecule: ribosomal RNA, 490 nt
Filed under: uncultured bacterium
Lineage: Bacteria
Description: partial 16S ribosomal RNA
Rfam family: Bacterial small subunit ribosomal RNA
Source: RNAcentral
AUUGAACGCUGGCGGCAGGCCUAACACAUGCAAGUCGAACGGUAACAGGAAGCAGCUUGCUGCUUUGCUGACGAGUGGCGGACGGGUGAGUAAUGUCUGGGAAACUGCCUGAUGGAGGGGGAUAACUACUGGAAACGGUAGCUAAUACCGCAUAACGUCGCAAGACCAAAGAGGGGGACCUUCGGGCCUCUUGCCAUCCGAUGUGCCCAGAUGGGAUUAGCUAGUAGGUGGGGUAACGGCUCACCUAGGCGACGAUCCCUAGCUGGUCUGAGAGGAUGACCAGCCACACUGGAACUGAGACACGGUCCAGACUCCUACGGGAGGCAGCAGUGGGGAAUAUUGCACAAUGGGCGCAAGCCUGAUGCAGCCAUGCCGCGUGUAUGAAGAAGGCCUUCGGGUUGUAAAGUACUUUCAGCGGGGAGGAAGGGAGUAAAGUUAAUACCUUUGCUCAUUGACGUUACCCGCAGAAGAAGCACCGGCUAACUCCGUG